UACGUAGGGGUGCAAGCGUUAAUCGGAAUUACUGGGCGUAAAGCGUGCGCAGGCGGUUUUCCAAGACAGAUGUGAAAGUCCCCCGGGCUCAACCUGGGAAUGGCAUUUGUGACUGGAAGGCUAGAGUGUGUCAGAGGGGGUAGAAUUCCACGUGUAGCAGUGAAAUGCGUAGAGAUGUGGAGGAAUACCGAUGGCGAAGGCAGCCCCCCUGGGAUAACACUGACGCUCAUGCACGAAAGCGUGGGGAGCAAACAGG
This 256-nucleotide ribosomal RNA is filed under the name uncultured bacterium. RNAcentral's name for it is "partial 16S ribosomal RNA". It matches the Rfam family "Bacterial small subunit ribosomal RNA", at positions 524 to 776 of the family's 1533-position model. The record is from RNAcentral.